This 505-nucleotide ribosomal RNA is filed under the name uncultured Desulfobulbus sp. RNAcentral's name for it is "bacterial SSU rRNA". It matches the Rfam family "Bacterial small subunit ribosomal RNA", at positions 903 to 1382 of the family's 1533-position model. Lineage: Bacteria; Pseudomonadati; Thermodesulfobacteriota; Desulfobulbia; Desulfobulbales; Desulfobulbaceae. The record is from RNAcentral.
GCCACGCCCGCUCAAGAACUCAAAGGAAUUGACGGGGCCCGCACAAGCGGUGGAGUAUGUGGUUUAAUUCGAUGCAACGCGAAGAACCUUACCUGGUCUUGACAUCCCGGAGACCCUUAGGAAACUAGGGGGUGCUUCCAUCUGGAAGAAUCUGGAGACAGGUGCUGCAUGGCUGUCGUCAGCUCGUGUCGUGAGAUGUUGGGUUAAGUCCCGCAACGAGCGCAACCCUUGCCUUUAGUUGCCAGCAGUUCGGCUGGGCACUCUAAAGGGACUGCCGGUGUUAAACCGGAGGAAGGUGGGGAUGACGUCAAGUCCUCAUGGCCUUUAUGACCAGGGCUACACACGUACUACAAUGGCCGAUACAAAGGGCAGCGACACUGCGAGGUGAAGCCAAUCCCGUAAAAUCGGUCUCAGUCCGGAUUGGAGUCUGCAACUCGACUCCAUGAAGUUGGAAUCGCUAGUAAUCGUGGAUCAGCAUGCCACGGUGAAUACGUUCCCGGGCCUU